GGGCUGCAACUGGGAAUCUUGCGCAAUGGACGAAAGUCUGACGCAGCGACGCCGCGUGUGGGAAGAAGGCCUUCGGGUCGUAAACCACUGUGGAAAGGGAAUAAAAAAAUGAAGGUACCUUUCUAGAAAGCACCUGCUAACUACGUGCCAGAAGCCUCGGUAAUACGUAGGGUGCAAGCGUUAUCCGGAUUUAUUGGGCGUAAAGCGUUCUGUAGGCGGUUUUGUAAGUAUAUGGUUAAAGGCUUCGGCUCAACCGAAGAAAUGCUGUGUAAACUACAAGACUAGAUGGUUAUCGGGAGUAUCGGAAUUCUUGGUGGAGGGGUGAAAUCCGUUGAUAUCAAGAGGAACACCAAAGGCGAAGGCAGAUACUUAGGUAAUUCAUGACGCUGAUAGACGACAGCUAGGGGAGCGAAAGGGAUUAGAUACCCGAGUAGUC
This 436-nucleotide ribosomal RNA is filed under the name uncultured Microgenomates group bacterium. Its description in RNAcentral is "bacterial SSU rRNA". It matches the Rfam family "Bacterial small subunit ribosomal RNA", at positions 346 to 795 of the family's 1533-position model. The record is from RNAcentral.